This 174-nucleotide small nuclear RNA is filed under the name Theobroma cacao (cacao). RNAcentral's name for it is "U2 spliceosomal RNA". It matches the Rfam family "U2 spliceosomal RNA". From Rfam's summary of the family: U2 is a small nuclear RNA (snRNA) component of the spliceosome (involved in pre-mRNA splicing). Complementary binding between U2 snRNA (in an area lying towards the 5' end but 3' to hairpin I) and the branchpoint sequence (BPS) of the intron results the bulging out of an unpaired adenosine, on the BPS, which initiates a nucleophilic attack at the intronic 5' splice site, thus starting the first of two transesterification reactions that mediate splicing. The record is from Rfam by way of RNAcentral. Lineage: Eukaryota; Viridiplantae; Streptophyta; Magnoliopsida; Malvales; Malvaceae.
AUACCUUUCUCUGCCUUUUGGUUAAGAUCAAGUGUAGUAUCUAUUUUUAUCAGUUUAAUAUUUGAUAUGUGGAUCAUUGAUUCACAUGAUAUUAAAUUAAAUUUUCUAGCUUAUCACAAUAACUUGCUAUUAGAGUUCUCAAGUGUCGUUCAUUCGUUGCUCAACGCACCCAAU